CAAGUCAGCUAGCAGCUGUCCACUCCGUCUGUCAGCAUGGCCCCAGCGUGCAAGCCGAGGCCCUCUCUGUGGGUAGCUGCAGUUUAGUGCUGGCCGCUCUCCCUCAGGGCUGCCCUACCUGCCCCCGGAGCAUGGUCCCCGGAGCCUCUGAGUCCCCCCGAGCCUCUGAGUCCCUGGACGGCCCUCCCCUCCCUGCCCUCUGCAGUGGCGUCAGACUCCAACACAGUCUGAAGCUUCCCACUCCAUCCUGGCUCCCUCUCCUCCUUUCAGAGGCACGAGAUGCACAGGAGUGUUUCCGCGGGUCGUGGAAAGAGGAUCCAACACCGGUGGCUGGAGAGCAGGCUGGAGGGGCAGACGCUGUGACCAGCAGGAACCCGCAGGGCAAGGGCUGACCCCGGCGGGGGAGCUGCAGCUGCUCCCCCAAGACCCUGGUGACCUGGCUGUGCAGGGCAAUACAGCUGCAUCAGGCUCAGGUGCGUUGCCUGGAACACCAAUCUGCCUCUACCUUGUCCCCUCCCCACGGUGCCCGUGGGAGUCACACCAACACUGAUCCUGGGCAUUCAUUCUCUGCGGAGCCAGACUGUCUUCCAUCUGAGUCGCGAGGCCCAGAGCACACGCCUCCAAGUGCCCGUCUCUCCAAGAGCCGCUGGCUCUGGCCCUUCUUGAGUCCUGGUCUUCUGUGUUCCUUGGAUUCAGCACAUCCCCAGCUGCUGGGGUUUGCCCAUGUUCACCGCUGUUGCUUGCACUCCCAAGGCUCGGACCGGGCCAAACCAAAGGCGUGCAUCUCGGAGAGAGAUGGGACAGGAGUAACUACCAUGGCAACACCCACGUUGACCUGGCACACAGGAGCCUGGCACACACGUAACCCACCUGAACGGCCACGAGGAAGCUGCCACAAAGCUGUUUUAGACACGAGAAGAGUGACAUUCAGAGAGAUUAGUCAAGCUGGCGGUCAAGCGGUCAAUCCUGGCCAAUGGUGUGCGACGGGGAGUGAAGGUCCGUUUCCUGAGAUGCAGUCACAGGCCACUGUCGUUCCCCUAGCUCUCUCUCCUAUUUCCUGUGACUCUCAUGAUGACUUUGGAGAUCACAAGCUGCAAAUGACGUUGGCUGUAGGUGGAAGAGGCCAUCGGCGGCACACCACAGUGGGUAGCCGUCUGAGCAGAGGGCCGGGAACAACAGCAUAAGGCAGGGACGGUUUGGAGGCCAGGCCUCUGAGGCCCAGAGAGGUUGGAAUCCUGAGGUGGUCUUGAGAUUCAGCCUCUGUUUGUCUGUCCCCACCCACCAGUGGUCCUGUGGAUGCUCUAACGCAGCACUGGGGCUUCUCCCCUCCACCUUCUGCAAGGGAGAGGGGCUCCCUUGACCUGAUCUGUGUACAGAGCUGAAUUCCCCGCAGGAGCCGCGCUGCAAGAUGCUGUGGAAGAGACGGGAGAGUGGCCGGCAGCCCUUUGAACACCGGGAUACUGGAGACAUCAGUGGGUUAACUUCACAACCAACGGACAUAGUUUCUAUGGGAAAAUACAUUGUAAACCCCAAACAACUGACUUGGAAACAGACCUGGAACUCAGCCUGCGUAUAAAUCAGGGGCUGAGCUGUGAGCGUUGUUUGUUUUGAACGUGACCCCACUGGACUCUCCUCUCCUUAGCCUGGUUCUUUCUCUCGCUCACUCUUUUCUUUCCUUGAUGCUGUGCAAAGACCCCAGGCAUCCUUGUAGUUCAUUGGCAAAAGCCACACGGUCCCCUAGCUGGGUAUACAUCUUACUGACUGUCCCCUAGAGAUGUGUUUCAUCACUAUGGAAAAUGAAAUUCUGUUUUCCUA
This is a non-coding RNA of Marmota flaviventris (yellow-bellied marmot), 1815 nucleotides long. NCBI's taxonomy places the organism in Eukaryota, Metazoa, Chordata, Mammalia, Rodentia, Sciuridae. The record is from RefSeq and is a predicted model, not a curated record.